Molecule: transfer RNA, 72 nt
Filed under: Candidatus Parcubacteria bacterium
Lineage: Bacteria; Candidatus Parcubacteria
Description: tRNA-Arg
Rfam family: tRNA
About the family: Transfer RNA (tRNA) molecules are approximately 80 nucleotides in length. Their secondary structure includes four short double-helical elements and three loops (D, anti-codon, and T loops).
Source: RNAcentral
GCCUCUGUAGCUCAAAGGAGAGAGCACUGGCCUUCUAAGCCGGGGAUAGAGGUUCGAUUCCUCUCAGAGGCA